AUGGCUCUAUAUAAACAGGGCAGCCAAAGGGAGGAGGACCACAAGGCUCAGGGACUGAAAAGCAGGGUAAGCGGCCGCAGCCAUGAUGGAUCGACCCGAGUCGUCAACGGUACGGGGCCGGGCUGCCGCGGGGCUGGUCUGCGUUUGGGACCGGGCAGAAACGUGUUUUAUUGUCAAAAUAAAAAUAAAAGAGAGUGGGGGGGGCCACCCCGAGGAAACAAGAUGAAAACAAAACGAAAAAGAGAGGAAAAAAAAAAAAAAGAACACUCGAGGGUGACCCAAGCCACCGCAAAACUGAGGGGAAAAUCUUUCAAACAAAAUCGGAUCCUGACGGAGGAGAGGGGAGCGGCGAGAGGAGGAAGGGGAGGACGGAGGGAGGGGGAGUCCUCCCGGAGCUAAAAAAACUCGAGAAUCGCCCUUUUAAAAAAAAAAAAAAAAGGCCACGACCCUUCAGGGGUCCCGGGGGGCGUUGCCCGCUCCCCACCCCCGCGCCAAGGAGGGAAACCACCACCGGUCGCCGCUCCCCGCGCCGCCGCCGCCACCGGCUGCAGCUCCAGCCGUCCGGUCCGCCCGCUUCUCCCCUUUAUAUAGUGAGCCAACGAGCUGCGCGAGCCGCCGCCGCCGCCGCCGCCGCCGCCGAGAGACAGGGCGGAGGGGGGGAGGGAGGGGCGGAAAGGGCGGGGGCAGCGGUGGGCGGGGCCGAGCGCGAGAACACCGCGAGAGCCGCGUGCGCAGGCGCGUCGGGGCGGAGGCCGCCGCAGGCCGCGUCAUCGAGCCCUGUGGAGGGCGUUGUGAGGGGCGGGGCCGACUUAAAGUUGUGAAGUCGGCCCGCCGCCUCGCCAAGUCUCGCGUGAUCACGUGGUCGGCACCUAGGCGGAAGUCUCGGGCAGCUGCUUCGGGAUAGUGAAGUGAAGUGAGGUCGUUCAGUCAUGUCUGCCUUUUUGCGACCCGGUGGAGUCUAAGCCCACCAGGCGCCUCAGUCCGUGGGGUUUUCCUGGCAAGAAUACUGGAAUGGGUUGCCAUUUCCUUCCCCGCCUUAUAGGGGCUCGCUAACUGUUGCCGGAGGAAAGGCAUGAGUGCUGGUAACCCUGGAGUCCAGAGCUAGCUGGGGGACCGCCUCCUGAGGGAUGUCUAUACGCAGUCCGGCGCUGGAGGGGCUCGAAGACGUGGAAGGGGCAGUGGCGGUCGCCUGCUAGGCAGGGCCGAGGAGAGCCGGUCACGUGCCCCACCCCGCCGCCCGCGCGCGCUCGGAUCGUGGGCAGAGGUUCAAAUGCGGAGUCAUCUCUGAAGAGGAGCUCAGCUCAGAUACCACGUUCGGAGGCGUGGGCACCUGCCGCCUGGGCUGGGUGUUUAGCUUGCAGAAUUGUACCGAGUUCCUAAAAGGGAUGAAAGCUGAUUUGCCGCCCCCCACCCCCCACCUUAACACAUUCCAGAAUCAGUGACACCUGAAGCCAGAUGAGUUGUCCCAGCCAGUACAUCCGCGAAGUCUCUGGGUUUCAAGUUUCCCAAAGGUCCGGGCUCUACUAUCCUACAUACUUUAAAUGACUUCUCAAGGCAGUGGAAAAAGCCACCCCGUCCCUCCCCAACCCGAAACGGAUCACCGGGAUUAUGACUGCACAAGUCUCCCCGGUUUAUAAAAACGUUGCCCCAAUUCACUGACCACGUGGCCAGGGCAUAUUAACAUCUGAAAUACUGGGCGUCUGACCCCCACUAACUGAUAUGGCCUGUUGCUGCUAAGAGCAGAAAAUGUUCUUGUCUUGGGGUGCAGCUCAAUAGACAUUUGACCUACUCUGCGGAAGCUAAUCACCCGCCUUUAUAGCAGCAUUUCACACAACAGAGAAUGUUCUAUGUUUUAAAAGGUGGAAGUUAACAGUACCUAUUUUUUUUGUCCAUAGGGAAUUUCCAGAGACAGGGAAUGUAGUCUGGACAGAUGAGGGAGUUUAUCCUCAAAAGGCAAAGCAGAACAAAAUGUCAGAGUUACAUAGUCUCUAAGGCCAUAUUGGAGGAACAUAACUUGCUUCUCAGUUCCCUGCAGGGUUGCUUGUUUGGGAGCAUCAAAAGGAAAAAAAUAAAUCACAGAAAAUGAUAGUGUUCUUUAUGUUGUUCAGCCGCUCAGUUGUGUCUGACUCUUUGCAACCCCAUGGAUUGCGGCACAUCUUUCAUCUCCUGGAGCUUGCUCAAACUCAUGUCCAUUGAGUCGGUGAUGUCGUCGUCUUCUACUGGCAUCCAUCUUUCCCAGCAUCAGGGUCUUUUGCAGUGAAUUGGCUUUUCGAAUCAGGUGGCCAAAGCGUUGGAGCUUCAGCUUCAGUGUCAGUCCU
RNAcentral lists this long non-coding RNA (2318 nucleotides) under Cervus hanglu yarkandensis (Yarkand deer). Its description in RNAcentral is "lncRNA (ENSCHYG00000013960.1)". Lineage: Eukaryota; Metazoa; Chordata; Mammalia; Artiodactyla; Cervidae. The record is from RNAcentral.